RNAcentral lists this ribosomal RNA (126 nucleotides) under Pteropus alecto (black flying fox). The record is from RNAcentral. Lineage: Eukaryota; Metazoa; Chordata; Mammalia; Chiroptera; Pteropodidae.
GUCUAUGGCCAUGCUACCCUGAACACGCCUGAUUUCAUCUGAUCUCGGAAGCUAAGCAGGGUCGGGCCUGGUUACUGGUUAGUACUUGGAUGGGAGACCACCUAGGAAGACAAGGAGCUUUAGGCA